RNAcentral lists this ribosomal RNA (373 nucleotides) under uncultured bacterium. RNAcentral describes it as "bacterial SSU rRNA". It matches the Rfam family "Bacterial small subunit ribosomal RNA", at positions 525 to 896 of the family's 1533-position model. The record is from RNAcentral.
ACGUAGGGGGCAAGCGUUGUCCGGAUUUAUUGGGCGUAAAGAGCGUGUAGGCGGCUAGAUAGGUCCGUUGUGAAAACUCGAGGCUCAACCUCGAGACGUCGAUGGAAACCAUCUGGCUAGAGUCCGGAAGAGGAGAGUGGAAUUCCUGGUGUAGCGGUGAAAUGCGCAGAUAUCAGGAAGAACACCCGUGGCGAAGGCGGCUCUCUGGUACGUGACUGACGCUGAGACGCGAAAGCGUGGGGAGCAAACAGGAUUAGAUACCCUGGUAGUCCACGCCGUAAACGAUGGGUGCUAGGUGUGGGGGGUGUCAACUCCCUCCGUGCCGAAGCUAACGCAUUAAGCACCCCGCCUGGGGAGUACGGCCGCAAGGCUA